CGAGCAAAACGAAUUUUAGUCCGAAUCCCCGAAACUAAGUGAGCUACUUCGAAACGUCUUAGAACAAACCCGUCUCUGUUGCAAUAGAGUGGGAUGAUUUCCAAGUAGAGGCGAUAAACCUACCGCACUUAGAGAUAGCUGGUUGCUCAAGAACAGAAUACAAGUUCAACCUUAAGUUUCUUAAUUAAAAAAGAAACCCUAAAAACUUAAGAGUUAUUCAAAUAAGGUACAGCUUAUUUGAAAUAGGAUACAACCUAUAAUACUGGGUAAAAAUUUUAGAGUCGAUAAUAAGUGGGCCUAAUAGCAGCCAUCUUCUAAAUAGCGUUAAAGCUUAAUUCUUUCUCUACCUUAAUACCUUCAUUUACCUUAAACCCGUCAUUAAUAUUGAGCAAUUUCAUAUACUUUAUGAAAAAUAUAAUGCUAGAACUAGUAACAAGAAAAACUUUCUCCAAAAUGUAAGCCUAAGCCACAAUAGAUAUACUACCGGCAAUUAACGUAAAUGACACUUCUAUAGUACCCCCCACAAGAAAAUCCUAUAACCCCUAACGCUAAUCUUACACUAGAACAUUAUUGGAAAGAUAAAAGAAAAAGAAGGAACUCGGCAAAAUUAACCC
RNAcentral lists this ribosomal RNA (614 nucleotides) under Gephyromantis moseri. RNAcentral's name for it is "partial 16S ribosomal RNA". The stretch from base 1 to 424 matches the Rfam family "Bacterial large subunit ribosomal RNA", at positions 689 to 1300 of the family's 2925-position model. Lineage: Eukaryota; Metazoa; Chordata; Amphibia; Anura; Mantellidae. The record is from RNAcentral.